Solanum verrucosum is the source of this 443-nucleotide long non-coding RNA. RefSeq lists it as uncharacterized. Lineage: Eukaryota; Viridiplantae; Streptophyta; Magnoliopsida; Solanales; Solanaceae. The transcript has 3 exons. The record is from RefSeq and is a predicted model, not a curated record.
AUCAGUUGGAAAAUGGAAGCUCUGCCAGAGGAAAUUUUCUGGAUUGUCAUCAUUUGCAUCUUUGACAACAAGAUUACCAGAAUCUAAAAGCACUGCAACUGGAUUUUGGACUGAUCUUGAGGUGUUAGUAGACCAUAUAAUUUCAUUCUUGUCAUUGAGAAGUGCAAGUAUUCCCGGUUCGGUGACCUUCAAAAUGACUGAAGAUGUAUUGGUAAGUGGUUUCUCUCUGUUUGCAACCCAUACUACUGUUUGCAUAUGAGGAAGAAUUUGCUUGUACCAUAUCCCAAUAUAUCGAUUUGAGGAACCGCUGAGGUUGAAGAAUCCCAGCUCAAAGGUUCCACCGGAUGAAACAAUAGUUUCACCAUCUAUGAUGAAUUGAUUUGUACUGAUUAAAUCUGUUGUUGUAGUAGAAAUAAUAUUGUGUAUAGAAGAACAGAAAACCA